UCAGGGCCUAAAAACAUGCAAGUCGAACGGGGAAAGCUUUCGGGUGAGUACUAGUGGCGCACGGGUGAGGAACGCGUGGAUAAUCUGCCUUAGAGUGGGGGAUAACUAGUCGAAAGAUUAGCUAAUACCGCAUAAGACCACAGGAGCUGCGGCUCAAGGGGUCAAAGGUUUUUCGCUCUAAGAUGAGUCCGCGUAAGAUUAGCUAGUUGGUGAGGUAACGGCUCACCAAGGCGACGAUCUUUAACUGGUCUGAGAGGAUGAUCAGUCACACUGGAACUGAGACACGGUCCAGACUCCUACGGGAGGCAGCAGUAGGGAAUAUUGCACAAUGGAGGAAACUCUGAUGCAGCGACGCCGCGUGAGUGAUGAAGGCCUUCGGGUCGUAAAGCUCUGUCGCAGGGGAAUAACACAAUGAAUGUACCCUGUAAGAAAGGAUCGGCUAACUUCGUGCCAGCAGCCGCGGUAAGACGAGGGAUCCUAGCGUUGUUCGGAAUUAUUGGGCGUAAAGCGGAUGUAGGUGGCUUUGUAAGUCAGAUGUGAAAGCCCAGGGCUCAACCCUGGAAGUGCAUUUGAUACUGCGAAGCUUGAGUGUCGGAGAGGUUACUAGAAUUGUUGGUGUAGUGGUGAAAUACGUAGAUAUCAACAGGAAUACCGGAGGCGAAGGCGGGUAACUGGCCGAACACUGACACUGAGAUCCGAAAGCGUGGGGAUCAAACAGGAUUAGAUACCCUGGUAGUCCACGCCGUAAACGA
Molecule: ribosomal RNA, 752 nt
Filed under: Bdellovibrio sp. N322
Lineage: Bacteria; Pseudomonadati; Bdellovibrionota; Bdellovibrionia; Bdellovibrionales; Pseudobdellovibrionaceae
Description: bacterial SSU rRNA
Rfam family: Bacterial small subunit ribosomal RNA
Source: RNAcentral